Vicia villosa (hairy vetch) is the source of this 106-nucleotide small nucleolar RNA. The record is from RefSeq and is a predicted model, not a curated record. Lineage: Eukaryota; Viridiplantae; Streptophyta; Magnoliopsida; Fabales; Fabaceae.
AUUCCAUGACGAGGACAUUGUCUUAGCAACUCCUUAAAUAUUUCCCAAGCAUCAAACAAUGAUUAAUCUUCUUCUUGUCUAAAUGAGGUUUUUCAUUCCUCAUUUU